Molecule: non-coding RNA, 1425 nt
Organism: Oncorhynchus mykiss (rainbow trout)
Lineage: Eukaryota; Metazoa; Chordata; Actinopteri; Salmoniformes; Salmonidae
Source: RefSeq, a predicted model, not a curated record
UUAGAUAAGAAGAAUAACCUCAUACACUGAAAAUGAUUGUCACCUGAAGUGCUGGUACUGCUUCAUCUGUGGCAGUGGCCUGAAAUACGGAGUCAGGUGUCGUUGCCAGCCAUAGCUUUCCACCAGCACCGUACCAUCCUCCAGUGCAACCAGCUGUCACAGUGCGGUCCUUCACAACACCAUCAAUCUCAGACAAAGUGUUCACAAACAGAGCUCCACACUGCCAAGCAGAAACACCAGCAGAUCCAGGAGCACAUGCAGCAAAUUAAGGAGGUGUGGCGGGAGGCUCGGUGGAUCAUAGAUGAUAUACAGUAUGCCUGCUACAAGCAGCCCACAGGUGGCAUUUCCCUGGCCUGGAUCAUCAACCUCUCCAGUGAGGUGUUGUCUGACAUGCCCCGCUCCACCUCCUCCCAGCCAGACCACCUGCCCUUGCCUAUGCCCUCCUGAACCCAGCCGCAAGCACUCUGGGACCGGGAUAGGGCCAGUGCCUGCCAAACCCCCAGCCCCUUGCUCGCAUUCUGUCAGAGGACAGCGGCACCCAGAGGCUCUCAGGUGCCCCCUCCCCCGGUACCCACAGGAAAGGCUGGAACGCCACGUUACGGGUGUACCCACAGUACCGAACAAGGGUACCCAAGGAAAUCAGUGUGAAGCUGCAGGUGACCCCAGGCACAUUGGCCAUGGAGAUGGUCCAGCUUGUGGUGCAGGAGAUGAAAGCAGUGUCGCGGCAGCUCCUCGGAGGUUGCAGUAGCAGUAGUAAUGGAGGGGGAGUGGAGGAUGAGCAUUGUAUGUACAGCCCUGGGCAGCUGGAUCACUUUGGCCUUGUACUGGUGGUGGACGGCAGGGAGAAGUGGCUUCAGGAUGGCUUCUGUCCCCUGGAGGUACAGAACCCCUGGCUCCUGGGCAAGCUGUGCAUCCACAUUGGCACUGCAGUACAGCAGGGCGACUACUGUCUGAAACUAUGGGGUGGGGAGGGGAUUGGGGUGGUCCCCUCCCCCCAAUCAUGGAAUUUAGGUCUGGACUAUUAGAGGGAAAUUUCUCCUUUAGAAAUGUGGGACCAUGAACUUUGAAUGUUUCACAUGGGCCAAAGGUAGGCACCCUACCUAGGAUGAACUGGAACUUCUACUGGAACUUUCUCUCCUUUCACCCUCUCUUUCUCUUUCUUUUCCUCUUUGGUUGUUUUUUUCCUACCAACUACUGUACAGAGCCUAGUUAAUCAUUUUAUGUUUGUUUAUUUGUUUUUGUUUUUGUUAACUGAACUGCUUCUGUGAGACUCUGUUUCCAUGAAGUCUCCUCCCAUCCCAUGUAAACGUCCCUUCCUUCCUCAACCUGUCACGCCCUGACCUUAGAGAGCCUUUUUAUGUCUCUAUUUGGUUUGGUCAGGGUGUGAUUUGGGUGGGCAUUCUAUGUUUUGUAUUUCUUUGUGUU